GAUGAACGCUAGCUACAGGCUUAACACAUGCAAGUCGAGGGGAAACGACAUCGAAAGCUUGCUUUUGAUGGGCGUCGACCGGCGCACGGGUGAGUAACGCGUAUCCAACCUGCCCAUCACUUGGGAAUAACCUUGCGAAAGUAAGACUAAUACCCAAUGACAUCCCCCGAAGACAUCUGAAUGGGAUUAAAGAUUUAUCGGUGAUGGAUGGGGAUGCGUCUGAUUAGCUUGUUGGCGGGGUAACGGCCCACCAAGGCAACGAUCAGUAGGGGUUCUGAGAGGAAGGUCCCCCACAUUGGAACUGAGACACGGUCCAAAAGCCUACGGGAGGCAGCAGUGAGGAAGAUUGGGCAAUGGGCGAGAGCCUGAACCAGCCAAGUAGCGUGCAGGAUGACGGCCCUAUGGGUUGUAAACUGCUUUUAUAAGGGAAUAAAGUGGGUCUCGUGAGACUUUUUGCAUGUACCUUAUGAAUAAGGACCGGCUAAUUCCGUG
Molecule: ribosomal RNA, 492 nt
Filed under: uncultured bacterium
Lineage: Bacteria
Description: partial 16S ribosomal RNA
Rfam family: Bacterial small subunit ribosomal RNA
Source: RNAcentral